AACGUAGGGGGCUAGCGUUGUUCGGAAUUACUGGGCGUAAAGAGCACGUAUGCGGAUUUGUAAGUCAGGGGUGAAAUCCCGGGGCUCAACCUCGGAACUGCCUUUGAUACUGCAAGUCUAGAGUCCGGAAGAGGUGGGUGGAAUUCCUAGUGUAGAGGUGAAAUUCGUAGAUAUUAGGAAGAACACCGGUGGCGAAGGCGGCCCACUGGUCCGGUACUGACGCUGAGGUGCGAAAGCGUGGGGAGCAAACAGG
RNAcentral lists this ribosomal RNA (253 nucleotides) under uncultured bacterium. RNAcentral's name for it is "partial 16S ribosomal RNA". It matches the Rfam family "Bacterial small subunit ribosomal RNA", at positions 524 to 776 of the family's 1533-position model. The record is from RNAcentral.